RNAcentral lists this ribosomal RNA (484 nucleotides) under uncultured bacterium. RNAcentral's name for it is "partial 16S ribosomal RNA". It matches the Rfam family "Bacterial small subunit ribosomal RNA", at positions 28 to 523 of the family's 1533-position model. The record is from RNAcentral.
GAUGAACGCUGGCGGCGUGCUUAACACAUGCAAGUCGAACGGUGAAGCAGGAGCUUGCUCUUGUGGAUCAGUGGCGAACGGGUGAGUAACACGUGAGCAACCUGCCCCUGACUCUGGGAUAAGCGCUGGAAACGGCGUCUAAUACUGGAUAUGUGAUGUGACCGCAUGGUCUGCAUCUGGAAAUAAUGUCGGUUGGGGUUGGGCUCGCGGCCUAUCAGGUUGUUGGUGUGGAACUGGCUCACCAAGGCGUCGACGGGUAGCCGGCCUGAGAGGGUGACCGGCCACACUGGGACUGAGACACGGCCCAGACUCCUACGGGAGGCAGCAGUGGGGAAUAUUGCACAAUGGGCGGAAGCCUGAUGCAGCAACGCCGCGUGAGGGAUGACGGCCUUCGGGUUGUAAACCUCUUUUAGCAGGGAAGAAGCGAAAGUGACGGUACCUGCAGAAAAAGCACCGGCUAACUACGUGCCAGCAGCCGCCGCAG